This is a ribosomal RNA of Penicillium polonicum, 120 nucleotides long. The record is from Rfam. Lineage: Eukaryota; Fungi; Ascomycota; Eurotiomycetes; Eurotiales; Aspergillaceae.
ACAUAAGACCAUAGGGUGUGGAAAAUAGGGCUUCCCGUCCGCUCAGCCGUACUCAAGCCACACGCCGGUGAGUUAGUAGUUGGGUGGGUGACCACCAGCGAAUCCUCACUUUUGUAUGUU